GAUACCAGGGGCAAAAGGUCGGGAAUCUGACGCAAGCUUGCUUGCAGGAAGAUUUCUGAACUUGAGACCCGCCAAAAAACAUGAGUAAGUAGCCAUUUUUCGAAGAAAAAUGAGCGGAUUGCGAAUGUUUUUGUGGAUUGUGAGAGUACGAAGUACGGAACAAUCCGGU
This 169-nucleotide small RNA is filed under the name Blautia faecicola. RNAcentral describes it as "Clostridiales-1 RNA". It matches the Rfam family "Clostridiales-1 RNA". Lineage: Bacteria; Bacillati; Bacillota; Clostridia; Lachnospirales; Lachnospiraceae. The record is from RNAcentral.